This 76-nucleotide transfer RNA is filed under the name Acidimicrobiia bacterium. Its description in RNAcentral is "tRNA-Phe". It matches the Rfam family "tRNA". Rfam says of the family: Transfer RNA (tRNA) molecules are approximately 80 nucleotides in length. RNAcentral also lists the same sequence under 1 other name. The record is from RNAcentral. Lineage: Bacteria; Bacillati; Actinomycetota; Acidimicrobiia.
GGCCGGGUAGCUCAGUUGGCAGAGCACGCGCCUGAAAAGCGCGGGGUCGCCGGAUCGACGCCGGCCCCGGCCACCA